AUUGAACGCUAGCGGGAUGCUUUACACAUGCAAGUCGAACGGCAGCGCGGACUUCGGUCUGGCGGCGAGUGGCGAACGGGUGAGUAAUGUAUCGGAACGUGCCCAGUAGCGGGGGAUAACUACGCGAAAGCGUAGCUAAUACCGCAUACGCCCUACGGGGGAAAGCAGGGGAUCGUAAGACCUUGCACUAUUGGAGCGGCCGAUAUCGGAUUAGCUAGUUGGUGAGGUAACGGCUCACCAAGGCGACGAUCCGUAGCUGGUUUGAGAGGACGACCAGCCACACUGGGACUGAGACACGGCCCAGACUCCUACGGGAGGCAGCAGUGGGGAAUUUUGGACAAUGGGGGCAACCCUGAUCCAGCCAUCCCGCGUGUGCGAUGAAGGCCUUCGGGUUGUAAAGCACUUUUGGCAGGAAAGAAAACGUCGCGGGCUAAUACCCCGUGGAACUGACGGUACCUGCAGAAUAAGCACCGGCUAACUACGUG
RNAcentral lists this ribosomal RNA (485 nucleotides) under uncultured bacterium. Its description in RNAcentral is "partial 16S ribosomal RNA". It matches the Rfam family "Bacterial small subunit ribosomal RNA", at positions 30 to 507 of the family's 1533-position model. The record is from RNAcentral.